UACGUCCUACGGGAGGCAGCAGUGGGGAAUUUUGCGCAAUGGGGAAACCCUGACGCAGCAACGCCGCGUGGAGGAUGAAAUCCUUGGGAUGUAAAGCUCUUUCGGCAGGGAAGAUUAUGACGGUACCUGCAAAAGCAGCUGCGGCUAACUACGUGCCAGCCGCCGCGGUAAUAC
This 174-nucleotide ribosomal RNA is filed under the name uncultured bacterium. RNAcentral describes it as "partial 16S ribosomal RNA". It matches the Rfam family "Bacterial small subunit ribosomal RNA", at positions 334 to 526 of the family's 1533-position model. The record is from RNAcentral.